Long non-coding RNA from Maniola jurtina (meadow brown), 1689 nucleotides. RefSeq lists it as uncharacterized. NCBI's taxonomy places the organism in Eukaryota, Metazoa, Arthropoda, Insecta, Lepidoptera, Nymphalidae. The record is from RefSeq and is a predicted model, not a curated record. The transcript has 2 exons.
UCGGAAAAUAUUAUUCAAUAAUCUAUUUAUACAAACAGAAGCAUAAAUAUAUAAAUGUACAUAAUUAUCGUAUAAUUAUUAUAUAAAUGCGAACCAAAGCGGUCAUAAAAUAAUAGAUUUUCUUUAAUUUAGUUAAAUUAGACAAAACUUACGAACUAAAUUACAACUAAAUUACUUAAAGUAAAUUAUAGUUUUUUUACAACAAAUUUUAUAUUACAUACCUAAGUAACAAUUUCUGGAAGUGCAAUUAAAUAUACAUAUUUUAAUCGAGGCCAUUAGUUUUUACAGAUUCCUCGUGAGGGGACGUAAAUUAGUAUAUUGCAUAAAGUAAACGUCAAAUUAGUUUUGUUAAAAUUAUCUCUUUGUGUUAUGUACGUGGUACUUACUCAAACAGUAAAUUUUUUUUUGAACUUUUGAACCUCAUUUUUCAUUAUAAAUGAUACACGAAUGUUAUACUCGCGUAAUAUAUAAAAUCUAUCUAGAUAUUUUAUUAAAAUAUAAGUUAAUUCUAAAAUUAACUAACUUAAUAAUAAUUAUAAUAUUAGUUCGAUCAUGAACCAUCCAACCAAUCAAAUGGCAGAAUUUGCUGUCAAUUACGAUAACGAUGAAUAUGUUUUUCACCAUGCGUUGCCUGUUCAGUCGUUCUAAGUUAUCCGCACCGUCAUACGUUGCGGUUAUUCGUUGCGUACGGCGCGAACGAAUGUGCAAUGAACUUAUAUGGGAUAUCUAGAACUACACAUGGGACAUUUCCGUCUCCUAUGUCUAUCCCAGUAAUGUGUCUCGAGCUCUACAUAUUUAUAAUAAUAUAAUUAAUUAAUAAUAUAAUAUUAUAUAAAUUACUUAAAAAUACGCAAUAAUUGGUUUUAAUAAAUAUUAUCAGGUGCUUAUGUCACAAGAAGUGUAGGUUAUGCGUUCACAUACAUUUUAAUAGUGCAAUGAGUGUUAACCAGGUAUUUUACAUUUAACACAUUUUUUGACCAUAUAACAAAAAUACAGAAAAGUAUCUUAAAGAGAAUCCCUCGUUUUAUAUUAAGUAAUUUUUUUCAUAGAGUAAACUUCAAAAAUCAUGUAUUUGACAUGCUUUUCGGUAUUUGGUCAACAGAACCAAUGGUAUCCUGAAAUCUGAUAGAUAGUACUAUUUUCAAACUCUACCGUCUAGUUGAAACUACUUCAAGUACAAGCUUUUAGUUUUUUUUUUUGAAAAAUCGGCCAUCUAAAAAUAAAAUGAAAUUUUAGAGUUCAAUUUAUUAAACAGAACACUAUUUAAUAAAUCCAAUUAUUUACUUAAUCAUUUAAUUUCCAGAGAGUAGGCAUUGCCUUUAUGUCUAUAAAUAUUUUUGUUUAGUAAGUUGUGUACUAUAAUGUGAAUAACUGGUUAGUACUCAAAACCAUAUGAAUAAAGGAUGAUUUAUGCUAGACCGGGCUUGAGUCCCGCAGUCUAGUAUAAAUCAUCCUUAAUAAUGCUAUAUACAAUUUAUACCUAAUCCCAACAAUCAUACAUACACAAUAACACCAACAUAGAAGCAUACAUUCACAAACUUUCGGAAUGAUCAUUUUACAGAUGAACUAACAUACAGAAAUAACUUUAUUAACGAUUCAAUACUAUACUUCUUGACCAGGGUUUGCUUGAUAUUCUAAAGCGAUUGGGCUCUUUACGCACUGCAUUUGAGACCGAUUCCAAUAAUUCAU